GGGCCGCUAGCUCAGUUGGUAGAGCACUUGACUUUUAAUCAAGUUGUCAUAGGUUCGAUCCCUAUGCGGCUCA
RNAcentral lists this transfer RNA (73 nucleotides) under Candidatus Cloacimonadota bacterium. RNAcentral describes it as "tRNA-Lys". It matches the Rfam family "tRNA". From Rfam's summary of the family: Transfer RNA (tRNA) molecules are approximately 80 nucleotides in length. Their secondary structure includes four short double-helical elements and three loops (D, anti-codon, and T loops). The record is from RNAcentral. Lineage: Bacteria; Pseudomonadati; Candidatus Cloacimonadota.